Molecule: non-coding RNA, 73 nt
Organism: Delphinapterus leucas (beluga whale)
Lineage: Eukaryota; Metazoa; Chordata; Mammalia; Artiodactyla; Monodontidae
Source: the annotation of a RefSeq genome assembly
UCCCCAGUGGUCUAGUGGUUAGGAUUCCACACUCUCACUGCAGAGAGCCCAGGUUCAAUCCCUGGUUGGGGAA